UAUGAUUUAGGCUCGAUACUACGACAAUCAUGUCGGCUAUUUCACCUUGCAAGACUUUAAUGAGGACGGUCGGCCAACUAGGAUCUCAUUUCAGAAAGCCAUCGAGGUUGGCGCCGAGACCGUUCACCAAGAUUCGGCGAGACUCAGGUUGGCUGACCUCAUGAUCGAUCCUGAUGCUUGACACCAAAUAGGUCAAACGCUGGGCCGCGAUUUCAUCUACCAUGGAACGACUACUGGUCCACUGGUAUACUAUU
Molecule: long non-coding RNA, 254 nt
Filed under: Malus domestica (apple)
Lineage: Eukaryota; Viridiplantae; Streptophyta; Magnoliopsida; Rosales; Rosaceae
Description: long non-coding RNA (MDOM_LNC002719)
Source: RNAcentral